Molecule: non-coding RNA, 2068 nt
Organism: Podarcis muralis (Common wall lizard)
Lineage: Eukaryota; Metazoa; Chordata; Lepidosauria; Squamata; Lacertidae
Source: RefSeq, a predicted model, not a curated record
AGCGCUGCAAUCCCAAAGUCGGUCACGACUGGACCUAAUGGUCAGGGGUCCCUUUACCUUUACCUUUAUUUUGUUUCCAAACAGUUUGGCUCCAUACUACCCAAGGGGAUUCUUGAUUAACAAAUGUAAGAGGAAGAUUUUAAUUUUGUUUUCUCUCUAUAAUUUCCUUUCCUUCUUUUUGCAGAACAUAUUUGGGAAGAAUAAGACUCCGUCCAGAGUCCCACCUGUGCCUCCCAAGCGACCAGAGAAACAGCUGCAGGGGGUUCCCAGUGAUACUCAAGAGGAGGAGGAAGACGAUCUGUAUACAUAUGAAGUGCCCCCAAGCAAAGGGCAGAGCAAGCAAAUGGUUCCAGCGCUUGCAGAGAACAUAUAUCUUGUUCCCUCUCAGGUUGUCUCUCUGCCCUCAGAUCGCCCGGCCUUGAGGCGCUUCUCUGAGCCACACAACCUCCUCCAGCCCAAGUCCCUUCCGUUCCUGUCCAAGCCUGGAGCAGAUGGUGACGACUCCAGUGACGGGACAUUCAACUUCCUGGCCAUAGAAAGAGCUCUACAAAAAGGGAUGAUGAAGCAGUCUGUGCCGCCGCCUCUUCCUCUCUCAGCCCGACGGGGGUCUCUGCCAGUCCUGGGUCCCUCUGGGUCCCAAGCGAAAGCUGUCGCCAGCAGAGAUCCUUUACCAGCCCUGAAAGAUGACGAGGAGGAGACCCAAGAGGAAUCGAUCUACGUGGAAUGUGAGCCCAGAGCAGCCUCCGUGCCCCGCAAAGUGCUUCCUUGUCCAACCCCAGUGCCUCCUGUCCAGCCUCUGAAGCAAGCCAGGCCAGCAAUCACUCCGUCAGGACCCCAGAAGGCCUUUGUGGAAAACCUGUGCAAAGGUGUGUCUCUGAAGAGUGGAUCUGUGCCAGAGGAUUUUUGCAUGCAAAACAAGGCCUGGUAUGCAGGGAGCUGUGACCGACAUACGGCUGAGGCUGCCCUCCUCCGGUUUAAUAAGGACAGUGCCUACCUGGUGAGGCAGAGCUCACGACACGGCUGGAACCAGCCAUUCACUUUGGCUGUGCUCUUCAAGAAGCACGUCUACAACAUCCCCAUCCGCUACUUAGAGAGCAGUCAUCAAUACACGCUUGGCAAGGAUGGCAGGAGCCACGAAGAGCUCUUUGACAGCGUUUCCGGCAUCAUCCAAAGCUACAGCGAGCGCCCCUUGGUGCUGGUUGAUGGCAGCACUUCUGCCAAGGAACAGACUUGCUUGCUGUUUCCAGUGAAGCCAUGACUUUGGGGCCUGGGGAGUAGGACCAGCUAUGGGGGAAGAUGGGACGUCCUCCCUGACCUCAGGCACAAACGGCUUCAUUUGCCUGGCUGGACCGACACAAGGCCAAAGGAUCAGCGUGGCACCCUGGCAUUCUGCAAAAGCCCGAACAAACCCCAGGCAGGGAUCUUGAUGCCAAAUCACCUGAUGCUGAACCAUCGUGUUGCCUUGGCAACGAGGGGAAGGCAGCUUGAGAAGGGACUUGGGCAGGGAAAGGUUUGGCCAGGGUGGAGGUGGGACUGGAUCAUCGCCUCAUUUGAGCUCCCCCUCCGCCUGCCACCUUCUGACUGCAUCCCGUGAUGACAUGGUUGUUGUUUAUUUCUGUGGGAGGGAAUACCCUAGAUCAGGCUUGUCCAGCUUCCAAGAGACUGUGAUCUAUUCUCACAAUUAAAAAACUGGUGGUGAUCUACCCACUGGAUUGACCCUAUACUCCCCAAAUAAGGGGCAACAAGGUGAGUUUGGUAGGUCAGUCUGGAUGAUGUCCUGAGUCCCUUCCAGCUCUUGGGAUCCUGUAUCUGUGGGGGUAGAAUGUGUAAGAGCAAGUUUUCCAGACCAGUUCCCUCUCUGGGCAAUGGCUUUGGCUGACUAGUUCAGCACCAUGAAGUUGCUCUGCACAAUAGAACAGAAGAGUGGGCCUCCCCACACCCCAGCCAGCUCACCUAGCAGCUAGGUAGGAGAACAAUGGCCACAGCUGUGUGUGAAUGAGCUGGAAGAGGCUGGAAGGUGGAGACACAGAGACAUGCCUGCUUUGUGCUGGAUCCAAAGCUGUGACUA